RNAcentral lists this ribosomal RNA (758 nucleotides) under uncultured bacterium. RNAcentral's name for it is "bacterial SSU rRNA". It matches the Rfam family "Bacterial small subunit ribosomal RNA", at positions 157 to 917 of the family's 1533-position model. The record is from RNAcentral.
GUCGGACUAAUACCGUAUGUUGUCCAUUGACGGCAUCCGAUUUGGACGAAAGGCUUGGCGGUGAGGGAUGGGGAUGCGUCCGAUUAGCCAGACGGCGGGGUAACGGCCCACCGUGGCGACGAUCGGUAGGGGUUCUGAGAGGAAGGUCCCCCACACUGGAACUGAGACACGGUCCAGACUCCUACGGGAGGCAGCAGUGAGGAAUAUUGGUCAAUGGGCGUAAGCCUGAACCAGCCAAGUAGCGUGCAGGACGACGGCCCUAUGGGUUGUAAACUGCUUUUAUGCGGGGAUAAAGUGGCCCACGUGUGGGUUUUUGCAGGUACCGCAUGAAUAAGGACCGGCUAAUUCCGUGCCAGCAGCCGCGGUAAUACGGAAGGUCCGGGCGUUAUCCGGAUUUAUUGGGUUUAAAGGGAGCGUAGGCCGCGCCUUAAGCGUGUUGUGAAAUCCGGGUGCUCAACAUCCGGCUUGCAGCGCGAACUGGGGCGCUUGAGUGCGCAGAAAGUAGGCGGAAUUCGUGGUGUAGCGGUGAAAUGCUUAGAUAUCACGAGGAACUCCGAUUGCGAAGGCAGCCUACUGUAGCGCUACUGACGCUGAUGCUCGAAAGCGUGGGUAUCGAACAGGAUUAGAUACCCUGGUAGUCCACGCGGUAAACGAUGGAUGCUCGUUGUCGGCCCUUUGGGUCGGUGACCAAGCGAAAGCGUUAAGCAUCCCACCUGGGGAGUACGCCGGCAACGGUGAAACUUAAAGGAAUUGACGGU